CGGCCUCGGACAAAAUUAAACAACAUCCUUGAGAUGUAAUGAUCAAUAUGUUUUUUUUACGGUUGCGAAGUUUAAGAAAAAAAACAAGAAAGACACUGUUCUGGGAGAUAAUGCUUAAUCUGUUCUAAAUUUUUUGCGGUUAUUCGGGAUUAACCCUAGUUGGCUUUUCAACCUAAAAAUCAUUUUUAUACGGUUGCGAAGUUUAAGAAAAAAACAAGAAA
Molecule: long non-coding RNA, 221 nt
Filed under: Mytilus galloprovincialis (Mediterranean mussel)
Lineage: Eukaryota; Metazoa; Mollusca; Bivalvia; Mytilida; Mytilidae
Source: RNAcentral